RNAcentral lists this ribosomal RNA (505 nucleotides) under uncultured bacterium. Its description in RNAcentral is "bacterial SSU rRNA". It matches the Rfam family "Bacterial small subunit ribosomal RNA", at positions 28 to 521 of the family's 1533-position model. The record is from RNAcentral.
GAUGAACGCUAGCGAUAGGCCUAACACAUGCAAGUCGAGGGGCAUCACAUGAGGCAGCAAUGCCGAUGGUGGCGACCGGCGCACGGGUGAGUAACACGUAUGCAACCUGCCUUCAACAAGGGGAUAACCCGUUGAAAAAACGGACUAAUACCCUAUAAUACAGGGGUCCCGCAUGGGGAUAUUUGUUAAAGAUUGAUCGGUUGAAGAUGGGCAUGCGUUCCAUUAGCUGGUUGGUGAGGUAACGGCUCACCAAGGCAACGAUGGAUAGGGGAACUGAGAGGUUUAUCCCCCACACUGGUACUGAGACACGGACCAGACUCCUACGGGAGGCAGCAGUGAGGAAUAUUGGUCAAUGGACGCAAGUCUGAACCAGCCACGUCGCGUGAAGGAAGACGGCCCUACGGGUUGUAAACUUCUUUUGUAAGGGAAUAAAGUGUAGUACGCGUACUAUUUUGCAUGUACCUUACGAAUAAGGAUCGGCUAACUCCGUGCCAGCAGCCGCGGU